CACGUAGGCGGAUGUGCCAGUCAGGGGUGAAAUCCCGGAGCUCAACUCCAGAACUGCCUCUGAUACAGCACGUCUUGAGUUCGAGAGAGGUGGGUGGAAUUCCUAGUGUAGAGGUGAAAUUCGUAGAUAUUAGGAAGAACACCGGUGGCGAAGGCGGCCCACUGGCUCGAUACUGACGCUGAGGUGCGAAAGCGUGGGGAGCAACA
This 206-nucleotide ribosomal RNA is filed under the name uncultured bacterium. RNAcentral describes it as "partial 16S ribosomal RNA". It matches the Rfam family "Bacterial small subunit ribosomal RNA", at positions 568 to 773 of the family's 1533-position model. The record is from RNAcentral.